This 336-nucleotide unclassified non-coding RNA is filed under the name soil metagenome. RNAcentral's name for it is "partial contains 5.8S ribosomal RNA, internal transcribed spacer 2, and large subunit ribosomal RNA". The stretch from base 1 to 120 matches the Rfam family "5.8S ribosomal RNA", at positions 35 to 154 of the family's 154-position model. The record is from RNAcentral.
GAUGAAGAACGUAGCGAAAUGCGAUACUUGGUGUGAAUUGCAGAAUUCAGUGAAUCAUCGAAUCUUUGAACGCACAUUGCGCCCCUUGGUAUUCCAUGGGGCAUGCCUGUUCGAGCGUCAUUUGUACCCUCAAGCUUUGCUUGGUGUUGGGUGUUUGUCCUCUCCUUUGCGUUUGGACUCGCCUUAAAGCAAUUGGCAGCCAGUGUUUUGGUAUUGAAGCGCAGCACAAUUUGCGAUUCUAACCGACUACACUUGCGUCCAUAAGCCUUUUUUAACUUUUGACCUCGGAUCAGGUAGGGAUACCCGCUGAACUUAAGCAUAUCAAUAAGCGGAGGA